RNAcentral lists this long non-coding RNA (2034 nucleotides) under Erythranthe guttata (spotted monkey flower). RNAcentral's name for it is "long non-coding RNA (EGUT_LNC001916)". Lineage: Eukaryota; Viridiplantae; Streptophyta; Magnoliopsida; Lamiales; Phrymaceae. The record is from RNAcentral.
UCCACCUCCCGGAGCACCGUCUUCAGCCCUUGCCCACCGCCGUUAGCCAUCGGGUGUAUCCCGUGUGACGGCCCCUCCAUGUAAGCCCUAUUCUCCCUCUCCUUCGCAAACGACACGUUAUAACGCUUCUCCACAUCUGCCAUGCGUGCAUCAAAAAUAUUACAAUAAUUACUCAACAACUAAUUAGGGGUGGAAAUUAGACAAAUCAGAACCGAAUAAGUUGAUUUGCGAAAGAUUCCUAUUUUUCUUUUUCUAAAACUAAUCCGUUUAUGCUCCAAAGUAAUUGGGAGAAUCAGAAAUUGUAAUCCGGAAAUUGGAAUAAAAAACAAAUCAUUCCAGAAUCAGUCAGUAAUUUUUGAUUCUUUUAUGUUCUAAAAAAUAAAAUGCACAAUAAUAUUUUAGGAAUUAUUUUCAAAAAUUUUGUUCCAAUUUCCAGAACCGCUGAUAAUAUAUAGGAUAAAUUAAGAGAAACCCCCCAACUUAGACCGACUAAAUAACGAAAAACAUCCCACCUAUCCAUAUUUACCAAAAACCCCUGAGGUUUGUUUAUGGUGCAAACCAGCCCUUACGGUAUGACUUUUCACGGAUUUUUUUUAUUCGAGGGAAUAGACUUUCCAUAAUUCAUAUAAUUCAUAAUUUAUGAAUUUCAGAUAUUUUCUUUUAUUUCUCGCCUAAGAUAUAAUAGACAUAACACAUUUUUGUUGAAAAACUCGAUCAACAGUUAAUGUUGAAAAAAAAUCUCGAUCAACAGUUAAUCAGAGGGAACGAGUAACGAGUCAAAACACAACAGUUAAUCAGAGGAAACGAGUAACGAGUCAAAACAGCUAAUCAAAGGAGGAUUUUGAUUAUUGCGAAUAGGUGGGGUUUUUUUGUUACUAAGCCUAAAUCCAGGGGUGUUUUCGUAAUUUAUCCUAAUGUAUAUAUGGAAAAAUUGAAAUAUGUAUAUAGAUUAAUUAAAUAAAAUAAAAUAAAAAUUAGACCUUGAGCAAGGUUGUCAUAAAGCUGGCCAUCUCUAGUAAGGGCCAUCAUAACCUGCGGUAUGCCAAGUGGCAGGCUAUCCCCCCUAUCCACCUGCCAGAAAUGGAUCACCUUCCCGUACGUUUUAACAACCUUGUCGAAAUCCUGGCGCUGGAUGGGGGCGGGCACCCCCGGCAUGAACAGCACGCCGCUCUUCACCUCGAACUCGUGCGAGUGCCAGAACCUCUUCUCGUCGUCGGGCAGAGUCAGGAAAAGCUCCUCCGAGACUAUGUACUCCAGCCCGAUCAGGCGGCCGUCGUCGUCGGGGCGGUCGUAGAUCAGGCACUGCCGGAACUCUUCGUUCUGGUGCGCGCAGAAGUGGUGCGCCUCCACCUGCCUCGUCAUAUCGUCCCCGUAGAAAUGGAAUCUGAUGAUCAUUGAGCAAAACUAAUUAAUAUAAUUGAUUUGAUUUAAUUUGGAGGAAUUUGAUUUUGAUUGUUUAAUUGAUUGAUUUAUUUGAUUGAUUACGCGCAGAGGUGCUGGUGGAUUUUGUUGACGGGGCCGAAGCCUUGGAUGGCGGCGGUUGCUUUCUCGAGGAGGGUGGUGGAUGUUUGAGUUGGCUCGCCGGGGAUUUUUGGGUGAGUCAAAACGUUCACUCCUUCCAUUUUUUUUAUUUUUUUUUCUUAUCGAUCGGAAUUUUUGAGAUUUUUUUUUUUAUUUUUAGUUGUGAUUGCGAUUUGGAGAAGAGGGGGCGUGUAUGUAUUAUGUGAUAUAUGGUGAUGAUAGCUGUGGUUUGGCGUGGUGGCAUGCAGAGUGGCGCGUGGCAGGACGCGUGGCACUUUGAUUUUAAACGUGGCGAAAGAGUUGUCUGAGUUUGGGGCGGCUUGCGGGGAGUGCUGCUGUAACGUUAUUUAAACUUGUUCUAUGAUUUUUUUUUUUUUUUUUUUUUUUAAUUCUAAAAGCUCCAACUCAAAAGUAUUGAAAUGGGUUAGCAAAUAUUUAUUUUGCAUUUAAUUAUUUUAUUUUCACAUUUCUCAAAAUGUAAUAGUUCCAAGCUAUCAAAUAGUUGUUAAAAAU